This 504-nucleotide long non-coding RNA is filed under the name Ictidomys tridecemlineatus (thirteen-lined ground squirrel). Its description in RNAcentral is "lncRNA (ENSSTOG00000029781.1)". The record is from RNAcentral. Lineage: Eukaryota; Metazoa; Chordata; Mammalia; Rodentia; Sciuridae.
ACUCUGGUUUCUUUCUGUCAUUGAGCCAUAAUAUUAAUUCUUUCCACAGAAAAUUCUCCUGCCAGAGAUAAAUACUAAGACUUGAGGGAAGCCCGUGGAGGCAGGAUGUUUGUUUUAGGCUCAAAUUCAUCCUUGAGAAGGCUGGCCUUUCACCAUGCCCUAUGAAACUGGCAGUGCUCAACAAUGUGGAAUUCACUCCCAAAUCUGCUACACUAAAUCUGUAAACUAACUCCAGAGGAUGAAGCAAAGUUUUGUCUGUGACCAUAUGCCUGCAAAUAAGGUGUCUCUCUCUGUCUCAUCUUCAGUAUAGGUGGAAACAGAUAUAUUGUUAUCUGUUUUAUUUCUGCCCUCAACUAUUCGAAGAUUCAGAUGGAAAUAAGGUAAUGGUCUAUUUAAAAAAAAAAAAAAACUUUUCUUAGGAGACUGAAAUGGAGCAAAUUAUAUUCCAUGCAUGUAAGACUAUGUCCAAAUGAACCCCAUUAUUAUGUAUAACUCUAAAGCACU